GCCUGCUUAACUCAAUUGGUAGAGUAUCGGUUUUGUAAACCGACGGUUAACGGUUCGAGUCCGUUAGGAGGC
This 72-nucleotide transfer RNA is filed under the name Kalinella pachyderma. RNAcentral describes it as "tRNA-Thr". It matches the Rfam family "tRNA". Rfam says of the family: Transfer RNA (tRNA) molecules are approximately 80 nucleotides in length. Their secondary structure includes four short double-helical elements and three loops (D, anti-codon, and T loops). The record is from RNAcentral. Lineage: Eukaryota; Viridiplantae; Chlorophyta; Trebouxiophyceae; Watanabeales; Watanabeaceae.